Molecule: long non-coding RNA, 4828 nt
Filed under: Sus scrofa (pig)
Lineage: Eukaryota; Metazoa; Chordata; Mammalia; Artiodactyla; Suidae
Description: lncRNA (ENSSSCG00065071777.1)
Source: RNAcentral
CAGUGAACCAACAUUUACUAAGUCUCUACUAUGUGCUAAGCCCAGUGCCAAGGACACCAGACCAACACAUCCCAUUCAGUUUCCAAGGAGCCCAUAACCAAACACUCAUAGUGUGACCAGAUGAAGUGAUUAAAUCUUUCCCCUGUUUUGCCCACUACCGACCACCUCGGGAGGGUCCUUCUCUACCAGUGCAGGUCUUUGGGUUUCCGUGAUGGAGAAUUUGAGAAUGGGCAGGUUUGAGAGGCCAUCCCCCUCAAAACACACACACACACACACACACACACACACGAGGCUAAAGGUCAGUGAUAAGAAAGAGGAGGAGGAAAAUCAUCUCAGAAAAAGGGGAACAGGGAGUUCUCUUCGUGGCUCAGCGGUUAAAGAACCUGACUAGGAUCCAUGAGGUUGCGGGUUCAAUCCCUGGCCUCACUCAGCGGGUUAAGGAUUCGGCAUUGCCUGAGCUGUGGUGUUAGUCACAGACAUGGCUUGGAUCUGGUGUGGCUGUGGCUGUGGCGUAGGCCGGCAGCUGUAGCUCUGAUUCAACCCCUAGCCUGGGAACUUCCAUAUGCCUCGGAUAUGCCCCUAAAAAGACAAAAGACAAAAAAUAAAUAAAUAAGAAUAAAAUAAAAGAAUAAACAGAAUAAGCAAGGAGGUAGGGAAAGAUAGAGACCUUAAAGAGAAAUCCUCUUUCAGCCCUUGUUUUCAUCAGCAUGAUUUUCCUUGGACUGACGUUUCUUUACCUGCCCAAGGGGUGAAAGGCUCAGGGAAAAGGGAGAAAGGAGUCCCCUCAAGCUUGCCUUUGAGCCAGGCAAAAAGGGGGCUCCAUGUGGUCCAGACUUUGGGAAAAAGAACUUUUGUAGGAUUUGAAGCAAAAGCCUGAUAGUAAUAGAGAGUGUGUAUUCACACAGUGCACACCUGUGCCUAUUACUUCUCCCUGAAAUCUGGUGCAAGGAUGAGUGGUCAGUGCAGUUAAGAAUAGAGGGUAGGGGAGUUCCCGCUGUGACUCAGUGGAUUAAGAACCUGACUCGUGGUGGUCCCGUUGUGGCUCAGCGGUAACGAACCUGAUCAGUAUCCAUGAGGAUGCACAUUUGUUACUGCAUGAGGAUCCCUGGCCUCAAACAGUGGGUUAAGGAUCUGGCCCUACUGCAAGCUGUGGUGUAGGUUGCAGAUGCAGCUCUGAUCCCACGUUGUCAUGGUUGUGGUGUAGGCUGGGAGCUGCAGCUCCGAUUUGACCCCUAGCCUGGGAACUUCCAUAUGCUGUGAGUUUGAUCCUAGAAAGAGGAAAGAAAGAGAGAAAGAAAAGAAAGAAAGAAAGAAAGAAAGAAAGAAAGAAAGAAAGAAAGAAAGAAAGAAAGAAAAAAGAAAGAAAGAAAGACAGACAGACAGAAAGAAAGAGAAAGAAAGAAAGACAGACAGACAAAGAAAGAGAAAGAAAGAAAGAAAGAAAGAAAGAAAGAAAGAAAGAAAGAAAGAAAAAGAAAAAGAAAGAAAGAAAAAGAAAGAAAGAAAGAAAGACAGACAGACAGACAGGUGAAGGAGCAGUCAUCUCCCAGGCUGGGCCCCUGCCCUCUCUGCAGCUCACAGCAGGGGCUGGAGCCCUUAGGCUCUGGAGCAGCCUCUCCAGUUGCCCAAGUGCCUGGUUGCCAGCUGUUUCCAUCCUGGAGCAUUGCCUCCAGGGCUCUGAUGCAACACCACAGCCCUGCCCUGGGGAGAAGGAAUCGGGCGCUUCACACAGGGUCGGGCUCUUUUUUUCAGGUAACUGUAGAGAUUUCAAGUCCUGGAUGGAGCAAGGAGAGAAAAGUCUCCUAGGCCCUAUCGAGGCUUGUCUUCUCUUGGACCCUUGACCCGCCCCUCACUGGCCUUGGCCUUCAAGUUUGGGUAUACACUGGGCUCAGCGCAGCAUAUGGAGGUUCCCAGGCUAGGGGUGGAAUCAGAGCUAUUGCUGCCGGCCUACACCACAGCCACAGCAACGCCAGAUCUGUGACCUACACUACAGCUCACGGCAAUGCUGGAUCCUUAAUUCACUGAGCAAGGACAAGGAUCAAACCCUCGUCCUCAUGGAUACUAGUCGGGUUCAUUAACCACUGAGCCAUGAUGGGAACUCCAAAAUGCACAUUCUUCAGGGCCCACCCUAGACUUAUCUGAACCAGAAACUGGGGUGGGUGGAUGGGACAGCAGUGUUUUAAUAAGUUCUCCAGGGUUCUCUUGUGGCCCAGAGUUCUCUUGUGGUGCUGUCACUGCAGUGGAUGGAUUCUUGCUGCGGUGCGGGUUCAGUCCCUGGCCUGGGAACCUCCACAAGCCGUGAGCGUGGGUAAAAAACCCCAAACCAGUUCUCUGAGUGAUUCAGGUGCAUUCUGAAGUUUGGGAACCACUUCCCAGAGGAUCAGGGAGGGUCAUGGAGGGCAGAUCCUGUCCUGUCCCUUCAUUUUAGUGAGAGGGAAACAGAGGCAUUGUACAGAGAGCAGGACCUGGCUCAGGUGGCACAGAUAAUCAAGUGGCAGAGGGGACACUGGAAGUUAGACUACCUGUUUCCAGAGACACCCCCUCUUGCCUCGCCCCGCUCUUUCCUUUGACUCAGGCCGAUCACCCAAGUCCCUCCUGAUUCACUGUCACUGUCUGGAGGGUCACCGUGAUGCCCGGACCAUCAGGGCCGCCCACUCCCUGUGCCAGGCACCAUGCUCACCCGCAUUGGCUUGAUGAACCCUCACAACAUCCAGGCGGGCUGGCUCAAGUAUAACCCCAUUUUGCGGACCAGAAAACUGAGCCUAGAGAAAGGUCAGGACACUUGGUCACAGAGCAAGAAAGGGCUGAGACGACUCACACCAGUUUCCUGCCUCCAGAGCCUAGGCUGUAGCCAGCAGGACCACACCCAGGCUUGCAGGAAGGGCUCUUCUCUAGCAUCUUCUGCUGAGACACCUGAAGGGACAAAAAGCUCCUUAAGCAGGUAAAACAGCUGGCAAACAGCCAAGGCCUCGAAGCUCCUGCGUUUACUCAGAGCAGAGCGCCUGUUGCUUGGUGUGCCCACAAUUGUGCCGACCUUGUAGGGCAGGAGCGGGGUGGAUUAGAAGCAGUCCACCAGGGAAUUCCUGUCAUGGCUCAGCGGAAAUGCAUCCGACUAGGAAUCAUGAAGUUGCUGGUUCGAUCCCUGACUUUGUUCAGUGGGUUAAGGAUCUGGCGUUGCCGUGAGCUGUGGUGUAGGUCACAGACAUGGCUCAAAUCUGGUAUUGCUGUGGCUGUGGUGUGGGUUGGCAGCUACAGCUCUGAUUAGACCCCCUAGUCUGGGAACCUCCAUUUGCCUCAAGUGCAGCUCUAAAAAUAAAAAAGAAAAAUUAUACAAGCGUCUUAGCAGUCUGGCAUAUUUUGGAGGACAUUUGCAAGUCUCAAUUAAAAUUUCAUAACUCAAUCUUCAUAAUGUAUAUUACGAUUAGAAACUAUAGUAUAAAAUAUUAAGAAAGAUUUCAGUCUUUUUGUCUUUUUUUUGGCAGGGGAGGCUGCACCCACAGCAUAUGGAGGUUCCCAGGCUAGGGGUCAAAUUGGACCUGUAGCUGCCGGCCUACACCACAGCCACAGCAACGGGGGAUCCAAGCUGCGUCUGUGACCUACACCACAGCUCACAGCAAUGCUGGAUCCUUAACUCACUGAGCAAGGAUCCGGCGUUGCCAUGGGCUGUGGUGUAGGUUGAAGAUGCAGCUUGGACCCCGUGUUGCUGUGGUGUAGGCCGUGGCUCUGAUUCGACCUCCAUAUGCCGCUGGAAGCGGCCCUAGAAAAGGUAAAAAGACAAAAAAAAAAACCAAAAAAAAAAAAACCCAAGAACUACCGUACGCUCCAGCAAUCCCAUUCCUAGUCAUAUAACUGGACAAAACUACAAUUCAAGAUACAUGAACCUGUAUGUUCAUAGCAGCACUAUUCACAGUAGCCCAGACAUGGAAACAACCUAAAUGUCCAGCAACAGAGGAGUGGAUUAAGAAGAUGCGGGGGAGUUCCCAUUGUGGCUCAGUGGUAACAAACCCACCUGGCAUCAACGAGGACACAGGUUCCAUCCUGGCCUUAACCCUCAGGGGGUUAAGGAUCCGUCAUUGCCAUGAGCUGCGAUGUAGGUCGCAGAUGAGGCUUGGAUCCCAUGUUGCUGUGACUGUGGUGCAGAACAGCAGCUACAGCUCUGAUUCGACCCCUAGCCUGGGAACUUCUACAUGCCGCAGGUGUGGCCCCGAAAAGCAAAAACAGAAACAAAAACAAGAUGUGGUACAUAUACACAGUGGAAUACUACUCACCCAUAAAAAGAAUGAAAUAAUGCCAUUUGGAGUAACAUGGAUGGAACUAGAGACUCUUAUACUAAGUGAAGUAAGUCAGAAAGACAAACCAUAUGAUAUUACUUAUACCUGGAAUCUAAAAUAUGGCACAAGUGAACCUUUCUUUAGAAUAGGAACAGACUCACGGACCUGGGGAACAGACUUGUGGUUGCCAAAGGGGAAGGGGGCAGGGAGUGGGAUGGACUGGGAGUCUGGGGUUGGUAGAUACACAGAAUUACAUUUAGAAGGGAUAAGCAAGGAGGUCCUGCUCCACAGCACAGGGAACUAUAUCCAGUCUCUUGGGACAGAAUAAGACAGGGAAUGAUAUGAGAAAAAGAAUGUAGGAGUUCCCAUUAUGGCUUAGGGGGUUAUGAACUCAACUAGUAUCUAUGAGGAUGUGAUAAGGAUCCGGCAUUGCUGUGGCUGUGGCGCAGGCCAACAGCUGUGGCUCCAAUUCCACCCUAGCCUGGGAACUUCCAUGUGCUGCAGGUGCUGCCCUAAAAAGCCAAAAAAAAAAAAAAAAAAAAAAACCCAAAAUGAUC